AUCAAGAUCAACAGAAUCUGCAACAUCUGUUAAAUCACAUUCGUCUUCUAGCAGACCCAUUCCUUUACCUCCUUUCAAAAGACAGGGCUCCAUUUCUGAUACCAAGCCUGUUUCCUCUCCUACGAUGCACCAGUCAUUUGCCAUCCCAGCCCUUAGCACAGCUUCCUCAUCAUCUUCAGCUGGGGCAAGUAAGCCAUCAACAGGAAGUGGAUCAACCUCUUCACAAAAUGUAGCCAUGCAGUCAGCACUGAAGAGACUGCAGAUGGUCAAGAAGAAGGCACAACAGCGAGUAUUUAAUCAUCAACAGAUUCGCAUUCCCAGGAGAUAAAUCUAACUUUUGAUGGACCACUAUAAAUUAUGGUACAAAGCAGUUCCCAGGAGGACAAACAAUAUUGUCAUGAUUGUGUAUAGCCACAGCACAAAGUUUGACUUGCACCAUUUACACUAUAGCAUUAGCAUAUAUGUGUCUAAGGUCAUGUUCUAUUGGGAUCAACCAUUCCUGGUUGGUUGGGUUUUUUCGUAUUCUAUUGGGGAAAAACUGUUUUCGGUUGGUCUGGUUGAUCAGCUUUUUCAACCAGCCUGAACCAGGUUGAAACGGUUGAAAAAGCAUUUGCGUGAUUAUGUUGCAUGAUUGUGGCUCGCGUAAGGACUAUUCACAGUCCUGAGUUACCGUGUUUCAACCGAAAACAGUUAAAAAAGUGCUCUAUUGAGAAACAACAACUGUAUCAGCCCAAACCGGUUGCGGUUGAAAUGGUUGAUCUCCAGAAAACACAGGACAUGGUUAUUUCAUGUUGUUAGGGAGCUUAAGCAAUGAUGACAACACCACCAAGCUAAGAACGAGGGCUGGAAAAAAAUGGAUUUAUAAUUUACCUUAGUUUGAAUUUUGCAAUUAUCAUCUUGAACUGCUUAGUAAGCCAAGUGGUGUAAAACCCUGCUCAAUAUGAAAUUAGCUGUCAUGGCUCGAUUUCUUAAAAAAAAAAAAAAAAAAAAAAA
Orbicella faveolata is the source of this 993-nucleotide long non-coding RNA. NCBI's taxonomy places the organism in Eukaryota, Metazoa, Cnidaria, Anthozoa, Scleractinia, Merulinidae. The record is from RefSeq and is a predicted model, not a curated record.